RNAcentral lists this ribosomal RNA (138 nucleotides) under Photobacterium alginatilyticum. RNAcentral's name for it is "partial 16S ribosomal RNA". It matches the Rfam family "Bacterial small subunit ribosomal RNA", at positions 1 to 119 of the family's 1533-position model. The record is from RNAcentral. Lineage: Bacteria; Pseudomonadati; Pseudomonadota; Gammaproteobacteria; Vibrionales; Vibrionaceae.
UUUAAUUGAAGAGUUUGAUCAUGGCUCAGAUUGAACGCUGGCGGCAGGCCUAACACAUGCAAGUCGAGCGGCAGCGACAACAUUGACCCUUCGGGUGAUUUGUUGGGCGGCGAGCGGCGGACGGGUGAGUAAUGCCUG